CAAAUCAAACCAAAAUGGCUUAGGUCGUUUUGGUGAUAGGGAUCCCAGUUCAGCAUAUAUCCUAUCAAUUUGAUAUUCACACUCCAUGGUCCACAAUUCUCAACAAUUAUAAAUGAAUUCCAUUUUUAGUGUGAUAAGUUAGCAAGGGAAUGAGUGAAGAGGGGAAAAGGAAGCCUAAGAUAACAUAGAGGGAAGUAGCAUCACAAAAUUUAUAAGUUUUGGAUAUUGAGGCGAACUAGGUGUCUAAUAGAACUGAAGGGUGAAAAAGGAUCCAUAUAGCCGACUGUAAUUAGCUUAGAAUUAAGGCUUAGUUGUUGUUGU
This 321-nucleotide unclassified non-coding RNA is filed under the name Hevea brasiliensis (rubber tree). The record is from RNAcentral. Lineage: Eukaryota; Viridiplantae; Streptophyta; Magnoliopsida; Malpighiales; Euphorbiaceae.